UGUUAGAACCAAUAAGUUACUAGGACUCUUGUGAGCUAAUUCCAAUGAACCAACAAGAUAUUUAUCUUGUGAUGAACAGGUUUCAAGGUUCCAAAAGAUUCUGCAUUCUCUUGCAACAAGAGUGGCAAAAAUUCUACUGUAUAGAGCUGAAGAAAAGUUUCCUGAUGUAAGCGAAUGAAUUCUGAGUGUUUCGUGCUUGUGUGCACAGAUAUGAAUUGUAUUGUAUGUCAGUUGUGUUGGCCAAAGUAACUAAAUAUUUUGUGAAACACUUCUGUUUGUUUGCAUGAUCCACGUUGAGAGUUUCAUACACUUGGGUGAUAAUGGUUUGGGAUAUUAUUUAGGAGAGCAAUGAGUUCAAGGAGAGAGAUGUGGGUAAGUCAUGUAGUGCACAUGCAACAGUGAGAAAUGCAUACAAAGUUUUGAAGGGAAAACCUGAGAGAAGCAGACAACUUGGGAGACCUAAGUGUGGAUGGGGAGAUGCUAUUAAGAUAGAUUUGAAAUAAAUAAUUUGGAAGGGUUUGUGCUGUGUCUGUUUGCCUUAGUAUACAGAGUCAUGAUGUGCAUGUGUGAUCACAGUAAUGAGCCCUUUCUGGCUUUGUCAACAUAUCCUGUAUGCAUUCCUCUUCACCCCCAUGCUUGCUAAAUGAGCUGCCCAUCUCAACCUUCUGGACUUUAUCAUAUAAUUAUGCUUGGUGAAUGAAGGUUACAAGUUGUGGAGCUCUUCAUUAUGAUGUUUUUAGGUACCAAAAAAGGAGAUAUUUUCUGUACUGUUGCAGUGACUGUUAGUUCCUCGGGAAGCUCACUGAGUACUUUCUAGUGAUCAUGAGAGCUGUAGAGAAGAACAUCUGUACAGAACAGCUCUUAUGAGUUAGAUGUUAUUAAAAACAGCCAAAGCAAGGAGAGCAUACACUGGUUAAUGUAGGGUGUUGUGCAUCCAUUUCUGAGAAGGAUGUGAUGGUUUUUACAGAAUUGUACAAAUUUGGAGAAUGCUUUAGUGGUUCCACAUGGUGAGACAUACCCAACACCUCAUGAUGUCAAUCAGGCCAUGAAUGUAAAAGCUGAGGCAGUCUCAGAUGCAGAAGAGGAAGAGGAUCCUGUCCCAAUAACUUUUCCAGAAAUAAAGGCCGAACUAGAGGAAAAAUUCUUCACAUUUUCUUUGUCUGUCGCAUCCACGAAGCAGUGCUUUGGUACUACAUCAUGGAGUUCCCAGGAUCUAUAAAUGCUGAAGUUUAUCCAUUGUUUUCUGUCUCCCAUGCAGUCUGUAUCCAUGUAGUAACAUAGAGGUGUCAUUAUGUUGAGGAUUUGUAAGAGGAUAACUAAUGAUUCUCUAAAGAAUUGUGAAAAUGUGUGACUGAAUAUAGACAUGGGUUACCUGUUU
Molecule: long non-coding RNA, 1378 nt
Organism: Cryptotermes secundus
Lineage: Eukaryota; Metazoa; Arthropoda; Insecta; Blattodea; Kalotermitidae
Exons: 2
Source: RefSeq, a predicted model, not a curated record